AUUUUACUCGAAACAUCAUCGAAUGUGAUAGGCCGAGGUCCAGCUAAUGGCGGUAAAACGACUGCAUCCAUUGUGGCAAUGCUGAAUCGCGUCGAUACAACAAAAAAUCAUAUACAGAUGGGAACAAAAAUAUGGUGAAUCUGUUCGACAUGAAAAAAGUCGUUGUUUUUGUCAUUGAUAAAUUAUGGAAUUAAUCGUCGAAGUGCAAAUGAGCCAUUUUCACUAAUAUGCAUGCCUACAUCUGAUGCAUACCGUAUGUAUCGAAUGUAUGCAUGUAUCCCCAUAUGAACAGAUGCAUAUGGACAGAUGCAGAUGCAUAUAUUCUAUGCAUCGCAAAUCGCCAUUAAGAAGAGAUAGAAUAUAGACUUAUGACUAAAGGUCACAAAGACAUUUUUUUGCAAUUCGAGGAUUUUAAAUUGUUAUUGUAGUUAAUCAUAAUGAUCAGUGGAAGGCUGCAUGAAGCCAUUGUGAAGUGAAUUGAGUAAUUUAUUUGAUAUUCAUCUUCACAAUAAAGGAGUUGGUGAAAAAGUGAGUCUAAUGUCAAAUUUAAAUAUGCAUUUUAAUGUGAGUAAAAGAGACAACCAUAUAGAUUUCACCAACUCCUUUGCGGCUAGUGACUGCUCAACUGACAAAAGUGUGAUUUCAAAUUCAAUAAAUGAAUUUGGCGGAACAACAAUUUGCAGCCCUUCAUCGCCAUACGCAAAGCGCGGUGGACAAUAUAAAUUGCGUAUUCCUCCAACGUUCAUACCCGGAACCGCCAAACUUACUUCUUCCGGUACAUUUUCGCUACCAAUUGUGAAUUCGAGAUUUUCCACACUGAUCACUUCUCGUUGGUUGACUUUCAAAACACCCAUCAACUUGAUUGCCACUUUUGAUAAAUCAUUCGCUUGUGCGCCAUUUCCAACGAUGAUAUCGACAUAUUGUAUACGAUCCUGUAUAGUUUUGCUGAAAGACUAAUACACUUUUGAUUUUAGCAUUUGUUUCGUUUCGCCGAUGGGCUCUCUUCGCAACAUUGCACUUCUAAGUAAUAUCCACUUGAUGAUACACUGCCGGGUCCAUCGACGAAAAGUCUGAUUUUAUCAUUCGCACCAAGGGCCAAAUCAAGUCGAACAUGUGUAAUGUGCAACGCUUUUCCCUCGAUAGUAACGGGAUUUUGGUACCGAACAAUUGAAUCUAUAUAUCAAUGUAAUGUAUCAAUAUAACACCAAUCUUACACCAAAACAUUUUCUCCACACAGUUGAAAAAAAUUACAUAGUUCUAGGCGUAAUAUCGCCUGGUGGAGACGCUCAGGCGAAUUUACAUCUGGUAACAUGUCUACCAGUUGUGUUUUCGUCUAAUGCGAAAUGUCAUUAUGUUUCGGUGCAUUACGCAUGACUUUUGGCCGGUGUUUAAAUCCUUGUUUACUGUGAUUUCGUUUGUAAGUUUUUAAUAUAUAUAAAAAAUGUAAAAAUGGAAUACAUUUUAAGGGUGAAAUUCCAAAAUACGAAAAAAUUUAUUACCAUACGUGAAGAUGAAUUGAAUUGGCGCACUUUUGUUGACAAAGGACUGGCACAAUUUGAAACAAAAAUUUGUAAAAAAAGUAUUGUUUACUUGGUCGACAAUAUUGGAACAGACAUUCCUCAAAAUUUAUUUGUGCCGAUCGUAAAAAACUUCUGGAAUGGAUCAACUUUUUCAUUGAAAUUAAAUACACACCUAACCUCAACAACAGUGCUGAACUAGUAACACCAC
Long non-coding RNA from Contarinia nasturtii (swede midge), 1728 nucleotides. RefSeq lists it as uncharacterized. The record is from RefSeq and is a predicted model, not a curated record. The transcript is spliced from 3 exons. Lineage: Eukaryota; Metazoa; Arthropoda; Insecta; Diptera; Cecidomyiidae.